RNAcentral lists this long non-coding RNA (345 nucleotides) under Rattus norvegicus (Norway rat). Its description in RNAcentral is "long non-coding RNA NONRATT001557". Lineage: Eukaryota; Metazoa; Chordata; Mammalia; Rodentia; Muridae. The record is from RNAcentral.
UAUUUUCCUACACUAAUGAGGAAGGACGCCUGGGAGGAGGCAGCCAGCCUCGUCAGCACAUUGAGGACAGAUGCAGAAAUAUUUCCCAUUCAGGGACAGAAACCUUGAGGUGAUAGAAGUCUCAAAUGGAUCGACACAUUUCUGCUGAACGUUUUCGGGGAUAGAGAAUUUGCUGACUAUGUACGUGAUAGAGUCUUUGGAGGAGUGAUGGAUCCUGGAGAUUGUUUCACAGUAAAACUGAGAAAUAACAAGGCAAGUUCCAAUCACAUAACGUAUGUAUGUAGUAUUCAAGAGAGCUUUUGUUUUUAUAAAAUAUUAAAUAAAACACAAAUAUUUUAAAAACAA